This is a non-coding RNA of Saimiri boliviensis boliviensis (Bolivian squirrel monkey), 609 nucleotides long. The record is from RefSeq and is a predicted model, not a curated record. NCBI's taxonomy places the organism in Eukaryota, Metazoa, Chordata, Mammalia, Primates, Cebidae.
AACAGACAGAAAAGUGAAGUUACUUGUCCAAGAUCACAUGGCUGGUAAAUGGCAGACCUAGGCUUUGAGCCUGCGCUUCCUCGGAGACCCUCUCCAGUGCCAUGGGAGUCAUACUACCCUGCCUCCUGAGGAAGUGCCCCUUGGGACAGAGACCAAGGCCUCUGGCACCUUGGCAAAUCCAGGAAACAGCUCCGCCCAGCAGCUGGCUCCAGGUGGGCUGAGUGGAAUUCUGAACUACUGCCAGCGCUACCGAGACCUGGAUUUUGUUCUCAGGCACAUCAGUGGGGGACAAAAGGAGGGGAGAGGAAGCUCAUCUCUCCAAAGCCCAGGGAGAACUGGAGAUGAGGAAUAUCAUUAUUGGCCAACUGGAAAACCUAGUUCCUUCAAAGGAGGACGUGUAGAGACCAGGUCGUGGCAAAGGGCACGGAAGAUCUGCUUGAAUCUUUCAGGUUGACAUCAUGGGGCGGACGGGAGCAGGGAAGUCGUCCCUGACCCUGGGGUUCUUUCGGAUCAAUGAGUCUGCCAAAGGAGCGAUCAUCAUCGAUGACAUCAACAUUGCCAAGAUCACCUCAUCCCCCAGGAUCUUUUUUUUUCUGAAGUCUGGUCUCC